RNAcentral lists this ribosomal RNA (254 nucleotides) under uncultured Ralstonia sp. RNAcentral's name for it is "partial 16S ribosomal RNA". It matches the Rfam family "Bacterial small subunit ribosomal RNA", at positions 71 to 325 of the family's 1533-position model. Lineage: Bacteria; Pseudomonadati; Pseudomonadota; Betaproteobacteria; Burkholderiales; Burkholderiaceae. The record is from RNAcentral.
UGAUCUAGCUUGCUAGAUUGAUGGCGAGUGGCGAACGGGUGAGUAAUACAUCGGAACGUGCCCUGUAGUGGGGGAUAACUAGUCGAAAGAUUAGCUAAUACCGCAUACGACCUGAGGGUGAAAGUGGGGGACCGCAAGGCCUCAUGCUAUAGGAGCGGCCGAUGUCUGAUUAGCUAGUUGGUGAGGUAAAGGCUCACCAAGGCGACGAUCAGUAGCUGGUCUGAGAGGACGAUCAGCCACACUGGGACUGAGAC